This 72-nucleotide transfer RNA is filed under the name Pleodorina starrii. It matches the Rfam family "tRNA". From Rfam's summary of the family: Transfer RNA (tRNA) molecules are approximately 80 nucleotides in length. Their secondary structure includes four short double-helical elements and three loops (D, anti-codon, and T loops). The record is from Rfam by way of RNAcentral. Lineage: Eukaryota; Viridiplantae; Chlorophyta; Chlorophyceae; Chlamydomonadales; Volvocaceae.
AUUGAGAUGGCGCAGCGGAAGCGUGCGGGGCUCAUAACCCCGAGGUCGUAGGAUCGAAACCUGGUCUCGAUA